GUAGGUGGCAAGCGUUGUCCGGAAUUAUUGGGCGUAAAGCGCGCGCAGGCGGUUCUUUAAGUCUGAUGUGAAAGCCCACGGCUCAACCGUGGAGGGUCAUUGGAAACUGGAGAACUUGAGUACAGAAGAGGAAAGCGGAAUUCCACGUGUAGCGGUGAAAUGCGUAGAGAUGUGGAGGAACACCAGUGGCGAAGGCGGCUUUCUGGUCUGUAACUGACGCUGAGGCGCGAAAGCAUGGGGGAGCAAACAGGAUUAGAUACCCUGGUAGUCCACGCCGUAAACGAUGAGUGCUAAGUGUUAGGGGGUUUCCGCCCCUUAGUGCUGCAGCUAACGCAUUAAGCACUCCGCCUGGGAGUACGGCCGCAAGGCUG
This 371-nucleotide ribosomal RNA is filed under the name uncultured organism. Its description in RNAcentral is "partial 16S ribosomal RNA". It matches the Rfam family "Bacterial small subunit ribosomal RNA", at positions 527 to 896 of the family's 1533-position model. The record is from RNAcentral.